AUACGGAGGAUCCGAGCGUUAUCCGGAUUUAUUGGGUUUAAAGGGUGCGCAGGCGGCCAUUUAAGUCAGCGGUUAAAUCGUGGGGCUCAACCCCAUUCUGCCGUUGAUACUGGGUGGCUUGAUUGCGGUCGAGGUUGGCGGAAUUCGUUGUGUAGCGGUGAAAUGCAUAGAUAUGACGAAGAACACCGAUUGCGUAGGCAGCUGACCAGAUCGCAAAUGACGCUCAUGCACGAAAGUGCGGGGAUCGAACAGGAUUAGAUACCCUGGUAGUCCGCACAGUAAACGAUGAAUACUUGUUGUCGGCGAUAUAAUGUCGGAGGCAAAGCGAAAGCGAUAAGUAUUCCACCUGGGGAGUACGCCGGCAACGGUGAAACUCAAAUGAAUUGGCGGGG
Molecule: ribosomal RNA, 392 nt
Filed under: uncultured bacterium
Lineage: Bacteria
Description: partial 16S ribosomal RNA
Rfam family: Bacterial small subunit ribosomal RNA
Source: RNAcentral